UACAGAGGUCCCAAGCGUUGUUCGGAUUCAUUGGGCGUAAAGGGUGCGUAGGUGGCGUGGUAAGUCGGGUGUGAAAUCCCGGGGCUCAACCCCGGGACUGCAUUCGAUACUGCCAUGCUUGAGGACUGGAGAGGAGACUGGAAUUUACGGUGUAGCAGUGAAAUGCGUAGAGAUCGUAAGGAAGACCAGUGGCGAAGGCGGGUCUCUGGACAGUUCCUGACACUGAGGCACGAAGGCCAGGGGAGCAAACAGG
Molecule: ribosomal RNA, 253 nt
Filed under: uncultured bacterium
Lineage: Bacteria
Description: partial 16S ribosomal RNA
Rfam family: Bacterial small subunit ribosomal RNA
Source: RNAcentral